Molecule: ribosomal RNA, 265 nt
Filed under: uncultured bacterium
Lineage: Bacteria
Description: partial 16S ribosomal RNA
Source: RNAcentral
CUGCUGCCUUCCGUAGGAGUCUGGUCCGUGUCUCAGUACCAGUGUGGGGGACCUUCCUCUCAGAACCCCUACGCAUCGUCGCCUCGGUGGGCCGUUACCCCGCCGUCUAGCUAAUGCGCCGCAUGCCCAUCCUCUUCCGAUGAAUCUUUCCUCGAUCUCGGAUGCCCGAAACCGAUAUACGCGGGAUUAGCCUCCCUUUCGGAAGGUUGUCCCCCUGAAGAGGGCAGGUUGCAUACGUGUUACUCACCCGUGCGCCGGUCGCCGG